RNAcentral lists this ribosomal RNA (407 nucleotides) under uncultured bacterium. RNAcentral describes it as "bacterial SSU rRNA". It matches the Rfam family "Bacterial small subunit ribosomal RNA", at positions 355 to 776 of the family's 1533-position model. The record is from RNAcentral.
UGGGGAAUAUUGGGCAAUGGGCGCAAGCCUGACCCAGCAACGCCGCGUGAAGGAAGAAGGCCCUCGGGUUGUAAACUUCUUUUAUUCGGGACGAAACAAAUGACGGUACCGAAUGAAUAAGCCACGGCUAACUACGUGCCAGCAGCCGCGGUAAUACGUAGGUGGCAAGCGUUAUCCGGAUUUACUGGGUGUAAAGGGCGUGUAGGCGGGAGAGCAAGUCAGACGUGAAAUUCCAGGGCUCAACCCUGGAACUGCGUUUGAAACUGUUCUUCUUGAGUGAUGGAGAGGCAGGCGGAAUUCCGUGUGUAGCGGUGAAAUGCGUAGAUAUACGGAGGAACACCAGUGGCGAAGGCGGCCUGCUGGACAUUAACUGACGCUGAGGCGCGAAAGCGUGGGGAGCAAACAGG